RNAcentral lists this non-coding RNA (88 nucleotides) under Woeseia oceani. Its description in RNAcentral is "c-di-GMP sequence". It matches the Rfam family "c-di-GMP-I riboswitch aptamer". Rfam says of the family: GEMM was predicted in a large-scale screen for bacterial structured RNA regulatory elements. The record is from Rfam by way of RNAcentral. Lineage: Bacteria; Pseudomonadati; Pseudomonadota; Gammaproteobacteria; Woeseiales; Woeseiaceae.
CCUUGACAAGGGCAUACCCGCCGAAAGACGGGGACGCAAAACCACCGAUCUAAGGGGCGUUUAGUCCUACGAUAGCGGGGCUACCGAA